GAAGCUGACCAGACAGUCGCCGCUUCGUCGUCGUCCUCCUUCGGGGGGAGACGGGCGGAGGGGAGGAAAGUCCGGGCUCCAUAGGGCAAGGUGCCAGGUAACGCCUGGGGGGUGUCACAGCGUACUGAACCCGGGUAGGCUGCUUGAGCCAGUGAGCGAUUGCUGGCCUAGAUGAAUGACUGUCCACGACAGAACCCGGCUUAUCGGUCAGUUUCACCU
RNAcentral lists this RNase P RNA (219 nucleotides) under Klebsiella pneumoniae. Its description in RNAcentral is "RNase P RNA component class A". It matches the Rfam family "Bacterial RNase P class A". Rfam says of the family: Ribonuclease P (RNase P) is a ubiquitous endoribonuclease, found in archaea, bacteria and eukarya as well as chloroplasts and mitochondria. The record is from RNAcentral. Lineage: Bacteria; Pseudomonadati; Pseudomonadota; Gammaproteobacteria; Enterobacterales; Enterobacteriaceae.